AUUUAAAUAGUUUAAUAAAAAAAUAUAGGUUUGUGGGACCUGAGAUAUAGUAGUGGCUAUUUUAAAUC
This 68-nucleotide transfer RNA is filed under the name Linuparus trigonus. Its description in RNAcentral is "tRNA-His". Lineage: Eukaryota; Metazoa; Arthropoda; Malacostraca; Decapoda; Palinuridae. The record is from RNAcentral.